Molecule: ribosomal RNA, 497 nt
Filed under: uncultured bacterium
Lineage: Bacteria
Description: partial 16S ribosomal RNA
Rfam family: Bacterial small subunit ribosomal RNA
Source: RNAcentral
GAUGAACGCUGGCGGCGUGCCUAAUACAUGCAAGUCGAGCGAACAGACGAGGAUCUUGCUCCUCUGACGUUAGCGGCGGACGGGUGAGUAACACGUGGAUAACCUACCUAUAAGACUGAGAUAACUUCGGGAAACCGGAUCUAAUACCGGAUAAUAUAUUGAACCGCGUGGUUCAAUAGUGAAAGACGGUUUUGCUGUCCCUUAUAGAUGGAUCCGCGCCGCAUUAGCUAGUUGGUAAGGUAACGGCUUACCAAGGCAACGAUGCGUAGCCGACCUGAGAGGGUGAUCGGCCACACUGGAACUGAGACACGGUCCAGACUCCUACGGGAGGCCGCAGUAGGGAAUCUUGCGCAAUGGGCGAAAGCCUGACGGAGCAACGCCGCGUGAGUGAUGAAGGUCUUCGGAUCGUAAAACUCUGUUAUUAGGGAAGAACAAAUGUGUAAGUAACUAUGCACGUCUUGACGGUACCUAAUCAGAAAGCCACGGCUAACUACGUG